UGACGGUAACUUACCAGAAAGGGACGGCUAACUACGUGCCAGCAGCCGCGGUAAUACGUAGGUGGCGAGCGUUGUCCGGAAUUAUUGGGCGUAAAGGGAGCGCAGGUGGGACUUCAAGUCAGUCUUAAAAGUGCGGGGCUCAACCCCGUGAUGGGAUUGAAACUGUAGUUCUUGAGUGCAGGAGAGGAAAGCGGAAUUCCUAGUGUAGCGGUGAAAUGCGUAGAUAUUAGGAGGAACACCAGUGGCGAAGGCGGCUUUCUGGACUGUAACUGACACUGAGGCUCGAAAGCGUGGGGAGCGAACAGGAUUAGAUACCCUG
RNAcentral lists this ribosomal RNA (319 nucleotides) under uncultured bacterium. Its description in RNAcentral is "bacterial SSU rRNA". It matches the Rfam family "Bacterial small subunit ribosomal RNA", at positions 470 to 789 of the family's 1533-position model. The record is from RNAcentral.